CUGUCUCCACCCGAGACUCAGUGAAAUUGAAAUCGCUGUGAAGAUGCAGCGUUCCCGUGGCAAGACGGAAAGACCCCGUGAACCUUUACUAUAGCUUUACACUGAACGUUGAGUUCGUCUGUGUAGGAUAGGUGGGAGGCUAUGAAACUGUGGCGCCAGCUGCAGUGGAGCCAUCCUUGAAAUACCACCCUGUCGUGCUUGACGUUCUAACCUGGGCCCAUUAUCUGGGUCGGGGACCGUGUAUGGUGGGUAGUUUGACUGGGGCGGUCUCCUCCUAAAGAGUAACGGAGGAGCUCGAAGGUACGCUCAGCGCGGUCGGACAUCGCGCACUGUGUGCAAAGGCAUAAGCGUGCUUGACUGCAAGAUCGACGGAUCAAGCAGGUAGGAAACUAGGACUUAGUGAUCCGGUGGUUCUG
This 416-nucleotide ribosomal RNA is filed under the name Salmonella enterica subsp. enterica serovar Typhimurium. RNAcentral's name for it is "partial 23S ribosomal RNA". It matches the Rfam family "Bacterial large subunit ribosomal RNA", at positions 2016 to 2431 of the family's 2925-position model. The record is from RNAcentral. Lineage: Bacteria; Pseudomonadati; Pseudomonadota; Gammaproteobacteria; Enterobacterales; Enterobacteriaceae.